GAGGCAGCCCACAUCCAGGCUGACACUGGACAACAAACACUGGAACGUCCACCCCUGCUGCCAGAAGCUCCAGUUGUCACUGUCAUCUGCCAAGAAAAAAAACUAUAAAUAAAAGACUCCAUGUGGCUCCUACUUUUCAGUUCCCUCUUCGAUGUGGGGUACCGGAUGGGCAGAGCCUGUCAUGGGCCUGCCGAGGAGCCAGGAUCACCAGGCCUCCGCUUUCCAGUGCCAGGGUUUGAAAGCAGAGCUCCAAACAGACAUGCUCUCUCUAAGGAAGCGACAUAUAAGUCAAGCAUGAAAGAUGAAGAGGAGCAGAUUGUAUGCAGAGCAGAGGGAAGAGCAAGCUGAUGGAGGAGACUAACCAGUGAGCUUGAUGGCUCACUUGCCUUUUUGCUUUUCUGGCAUGUUAUGAUGUGGUACUAAAGCCCUUGCCAGAAGCUGCUGCCAUGCCCUUGGACUUCCCAGUCUCCAGAACCAUGAGCCAAAUAAACUUCUUUCCGC
Molecule: long non-coding RNA, 501 nt
Filed under: Callithrix jacchus (white-tufted-ear marmoset)
Lineage: Eukaryota; Metazoa; Chordata; Mammalia; Primates; Cebidae
Description: lncRNA (ENSCJAG00000055897.2)
Source: RNAcentral